This is a long non-coding RNA of Oreochromis aureus, 288 nucleotides long. RefSeq lists it as uncharacterized. The transcript is spliced from 3 exons. Lineage: Eukaryota; Metazoa; Chordata; Actinopteri; Cichliformes; Cichlidae. The record is from RefSeq and is a predicted model, not a curated record.
ACGCCACUCCACAGAAGAGUUUUCAGACACCAGCAUCGAUCCCAGCCUACAGACAGCAUGAUAAUAGACUAGAGGAGCUGCAGGAGAAAUACAACCAAGAGGUAGAAGAAAGAAAAAGACUGGAAAGUGAACUCAAAGUCUUGCAGGUCAAACUGUUGAAUCAGUCUUCAGUCAGUGUAAGCCACAAGGACAUUGCUGCCCGACAAGCCGGGUCUUCCAUUUUCCUAUGGCAACAGCAGGAUUCUGCCCAUCGCCGCCAGUCUCAGGACAUAAUGGAAACACCUCUAA